AUAUCUUUAGUGGUUGACCUCGAAUCAGGUAGGAAUACCCGCUGAACUUAAGCAUAUCAAUAAGNCGGGAGG
RNAcentral lists this ribosomal RNA (72 nucleotides) under Daldinia eschscholtzii. RNAcentral's name for it is "partial 28S ribosomal RNA". The record is from RNAcentral. Lineage: Eukaryota; Fungi; Ascomycota; Sordariomycetes; Xylariales; Hypoxylaceae.